RNAcentral lists this ribosomal RNA (253 nucleotides) under uncultured bacterium. RNAcentral describes it as "partial 16S ribosomal RNA". It matches the Rfam family "Bacterial small subunit ribosomal RNA", at positions 524 to 776 of the family's 1533-position model. The record is from RNAcentral.
UACGUAGGGGGCAAGCGUUGUCCGGAAUCACUGGGCGUAAAGCGCGUGUAGGCGGAAGGGUAAGUCGCCUGUGAAAGCGCCUGGCUUAACUGGGCGAGGUCGGGCGAAACUGCCCAUCUGGAGGCCGGUAGAGGGGGGUAGAAUUCCCGGUGUAGUGGUGAAAUGCGUAGAGAUCGGGAGGAAUACCUGUGGCGAAGGCGGCCCCCUGGGCCGCGCCUGACGCUGAGACGCGAAGGCUAGGGGAGCGAACGGG